Molecule: unclassified non-coding RNA, 257 nt
Filed under: uncultured fungus
Lineage: Eukaryota; Fungi
Description: sequence contains ITS1, 5.8S rRNA gene
Rfam family: 5.8S ribosomal RNA (bases 209-257)
Source: RNAcentral
UUUCCGUAGGUGAACCUGCGGAAGGAUCAUUACAGAAUUUGGAGAUUUUGUCUUCACUUUCCAUCCGAUGUUUAAUUACACCUUUGUUGCUUCGGUUCGUCUGUCUUUCAGACUGCCGGAGAUCUGAUCUCUGGCUCGUACGAAUCGAUAGCCUUCAAAAUUCUUCUUAAUCAUGAUGUCUAAGUCAAACGUUUUAAAUUAAAAACAAAACUUUCAACAACGGAUCUCUUGGUUCUGGCAUCGAUGAAGAACGCAGC